Molecule: ribosomal RNA, 744 nt
Filed under: Salmonella enterica subsp. enterica serovar Infantis
Lineage: Bacteria; Pseudomonadati; Pseudomonadota; Gammaproteobacteria; Enterobacterales; Enterobacteriaceae
Also listed under: 1 other name
Description: partial 23S ribosomal RNA
Rfam family: Bacterial large subunit ribosomal RNA
Source: RNAcentral
AUGCAGUGUACCCGCGGCAAGACGGAAAGACCCCGUGAACCUUUACUAUAGCUUGACACUGAACAUUGAGCCUUGAUGUGUAGGAUAGGUGGGAGGCUUUGAAGCGUGGACGCCAGUCUGCGUGGAGCCGACCUUGAAAUACCACCCUUUAAUGUUUGAUGUUCUAACGUGGACCCGUAAUCCGGGUUGCGGACAGUGUCUGGUGGGUAGUUUGACUGGGGCGGUCUCCUCCUAAAGAGUAACGGAGGAGCACGAAGGUUGGCUAAUCCUGGUCGGACAUCAGGAGGUUAGUGCAAUGGCAUAAGCCAGCUUGACUGCGAGCGUGACGGCGCGAGCAGGUGCGAAAGCAGGUCAUAGUGAUCCGGUGGUUCUGAAUGGAAGGGCCAUCGCUCAACGGAUAAAAGGUACUCCGGGGAUAACAGGCUGAUACCGCCCAAGAGUUCAUAUCGACGGCGGUGUUUGGCACCUCGAUGUCGGCUCAUCACAUCCUGGGGCUGAAGUAGGUCCCAAGGGUAUGGCUGUUCGCCAUUUAAAGUGGUACGCGAGCUGGGUUUAGAACGUCGUGAGACAGUUCGGUCCCUAUCUGCCGUGGGCGCUGGAGAACUGAGGGGGGCUGCUCCUAGUACGAGAGGACCGGAGUGGACGCAUCACUGGUGUUCGGGUUGUCAUGCCAAUGGCACUGCCCGGUAGCUAAAUGCGGAAGAGAUAAGUGCUGAAAGCAUCUAAGCACGAAACUUGCCCCGA